UUAUCCAAUGCCGGCGCCGUGGCUCAAUAGGCUAAUCCUCCACCUUGCGGCGCCGGCACACCGGGUUCUAGUCCCGGUCGGGGCGCCGGAUUCUGUCCCGGUUGCCCCUCUUCCAGGCCAGCUCUCUGCUAUGGCCAGGGAGUGCAGUGGAGGAUGGCCCAGGUGCUUGGGCCCUGCACCCCAUGGGAGACCAGGAAAAGCACCUGGAUCCUGGCUCCUGCCAUCGGAUCAGCGUGGUGCGCCGGCUGCAGCGGCGGCCAUUGGAGGGUGAACCAACGGCAAGGGAAGACCUUUCUCUCUCUGUCUCUCUCUCUCACUGUCCACUCUGCCUGUCAAAAAAAAAAAAAAUAUUAUCCAAUGUUCUUAUAAACUACGUUUUAUGACUGAGGUCACUAACCUAUUAGAAUCAGUAUGUGAAUAAUUUGUUCAAUACUGGUAAACAAGAGUUACGUAUCUGAAGUCUUCUCAGAGCCCAGACACACAGAGCAAAGGAAACAGCUGCUUCUGUCCGGAGGUUCCAGUGUGUUAACAGGUGAUUGCACUGCAGCACAGGAAGUUCUAGAAGGCGCCGCGGGAGUGUGCCCGGGCAGCCCGCCAGUCGGCUCAGCGCAGUCAGGGCAUGCUGUCGAGCAAUGAGCUAGAUUUUGUGAGUGUUUGCUAGGCAAAGGGGAAAUGGGGUUCUAGACAGGAGCAGUGACUGAUUGAACUGCACAGGCUAACACGGGAUUAGGAUGGCUGGUGAGAGACCCAUGUUUGAAUGACUGGAGAUGAAGCUGAAGAUCACAUGGGCCUGGGAACAAAUUGUGAAGCUCAUUGCGUGCUGUGCCGAGGAGUCUAGACUUGACCCGCCAUGCUGAGAGUCUAAACUUGGCCCACCAUGCCGAGGAGUCUAGACUUGGCCCGCCAUGCCGAGGAGUCUAGACUUGACCCGCCAUGCCGAGGAGUCUAGACUUGGCCCGCCAUGCCGAGAGUCUAGACUUGACCCGCCAUGCCGAGGAGUCUAGACUGGACCCGCCAUGCCGAGGAGUCUAGACUUGGCCCACCAUGCCGAGGAGUCUAGACUGGACCCGCCAUGCCGAGGAGUCUAGACUGGACCCGCCAUGCCGAGGAGUCUAGACUUGGCCCGCCAUGCCGAGGAGUCUAGACUGGACCCGCCAUGCCGAGGAGUCUAGACUUGGCCCGCCAUGCCGAGGAGUCUAGACUUGGCCCGCCAUGCCGAGGAGUCUAGACUGGACCCGCCAUGCCGAGGAGUCUAGACUGGACCCGCCAUGCCGAGAGUCUAGACUUGGCCCGCCAUGCCGAGGAGUCUAGACUUGGCCCGCCAUGCCGAGGAGUCUAGACUGGACCCGCCAUGCUGAGAAGUCUAGACUUGGCCCGCCAUGCUGAGGAGUCUAGACUUGACCCGCCAUGCCGAGGAGUCUAGACUGGACCCGCCAUGCCGAGGAGUCUAGACUUGGCCCGCCAUGCCGAGGAGUCUAGACUUGGCCCGCCAUGCCGAGGAGUCUAGACUGGACCCGCCAUGCCGAGGAGUCUAGACUUGGCCCGCCAUGCCGAGGAGUCUAGACUUGGCCCGCAGGCGGUGGAGAACCCACUGAGGCUUUGUUGAUCGCCUCCUUGCAGGUCUCUAGAAGAAUACAGCAAAUACCAUUGAAGGCCCGCGUUGUUCCUGGAGGUGUAUCAGAUGCUUACAGACAUCAUGAGUCCGCGCCAUAGAGAAAAGUUAGAUGGUCAGAAAAUACUGAUCAUUUAAAUUUUUUUCUAAAAUCAGAGAUUCUUGUUGUUAGUUUUUGAAUUUUUGUUGAAUAAAAGAAUGAAUUUUAGAUUAAUUUUUGUCUCAAUAUUCUUAGAAUGUCGAGGAGAGUCCAGUCAAAAGGUACUGUCCUUAUGAGCUGAAUAUGCCUUACUUGUAUCGGAAUCCCACUUUGAAAAGACUUGUAAGAAAGAAAUUGUGACUUAUUAGAGCAAAUUUGACACAAUGUUUGGAUACCUUCUGUACAAAUAUGCACAAUGUCUUUUUCUGGUGAAAAGCAAGCCUUUUAUGGCAUGUUAGGUCUUUUACCUUGGAACAAGUGCCUGCCUGGUCGUUGAUAGACUGAACUGAGUGAAGCUGUAGCAGAUAUUACAGUUGUUUGCCACGGCCGUUGCAUGGUCAUGUUGUCACCUGUGUCGUUGCUACUUUUCUGUUUGCCAUGUCCUUGGGCACCCCUCUCCGCAGGCUGUGUGCAUCGGCCAAGGGGAGCAUCCUUGUGCUCCAAGCCCCUUGGAGCAGCGAGGGUGAACGGGGCCCUGGCAGGAAUCCGGCAUGUGUGGGGCUUAAGGACUAGCCAUCAUCUUAACUACCAACAUUCUGCUUUCCCAGCGUAGUGUGCUUUGCUGAAGGCUCGUGGCAGUGGCUUCAAAUACAGUUACUUCUUCCAAAUCACUGGAAAUCUGAGAUCAGAAAUACCAGAAGGGUUAGACUCAGUUCUUCCCCGUGAACUCACUGAUAAUGCAUGCCGGUAGCAUUUGACUAUUCCAGAAAACCUCUGCAGUGGAGUAAAAAUGAAGAAAAGAAGCCCUGACUUUGUGUACAUUUGCUGUUUUGCAAUCCAGCUUGUUAUAAAAAUGUUAACCUAAUUUCCUAAUGGAAAGGGGGGGAUAUAAAUACCUUCUUUCAUGACUGGCUUCUUUUAUUCCUUAAAAUAGAUCUUGUGUUCUCUUUCAAUCAUGUAUGUUUUUCUAGGUUCAGCUACUAGCUCCCUAGAGAAGUCCUGCACCCGCCCCACCCCACCCUACCCAAAUUCACAUCGUAUCACUAAUGAUAGAAAGGUUUUUUAAAUGGCUCACUGGAGGGUCAGCACCCGCCCUCUGCUGUCACUAGGAGAACCGACAUCGAGUGCCUAAUUCUGUAAUGGGGGAAGGGAGACAGUACCUUGUGCCCGCAGUGUUUGAAACUUUUUCCCCUUAAUGUUUGCUGUAUUUAUUUAGCCUAUAAUUGAACACACCGUCAUUUUGCUGUGCUGCAGAUCGUCUACGUGGGAGUCAGGAUGCAUAUUUAAUGCCUGAUUUAAAAAGAAAAAUAGAUGCAGUGACAUGUGGGCGAUUUUAGGAAAGUGUGUUCUGUGCAGAUUCAAAUAAAGGUUGGGGAGAAACUGGUUUUCUUCUUCUUAGAGAAGACGUGAUAUUUCACAGCAGGCAUUAUUAUAGACCGUAUUUAUUAAGUGAUGAGCAGUUGUUUUUUCCUUUGCACUUUUAGUGACAAAUCCAAAUGGCAGUAAAGAAUCCCUACUUCCUUGGAGCACACCUCUUUCCUUCCUCCUUUAUCCCUCGCUAACAAAGGCCCUAAACGGUUUUGGCUAAAAGAUAAAAACAUGUGGCUCCAUCUCUAAAGGAAAGAAAGCCAGCGGCAAUGUUCUCUGGAACACAGAAGCCUGUACGUGGAGGGAGCUGGGUGUCAAAGAGCACUUGGUACCAUGGUUUAGGGGGACGUGAUUUAUUCCGCCCAGGUAGCAGGGUGGAAAGAACCAGCAGGUGCCCCAGUCCUUUGCAGGGGCCCCAUGGUACCCCUAGAAAGCUCUGCUAAAGUGGGUGUACUUGCAGUCACACCCUAUAGGAGCUUCUGUGUGUUUUAAGAAAAAACCUUUGAAUUCUGCGCAACUGCUACCAGUUGAACAGUGAUAUUUAUUUUGGGUGUCCUGGCCCCAGCUUAGUGAAGAGGUAAGAGAGGGGGUGAAAAGUUUCAGUACAUUCACCCAGUGUAUACUUUUAUUUCGUCUUUGAAACUUUACUUUCUGAAGAAAGUAGGUACAGUUUUUACUUUGGGACACAGAGUUCUUAGGAAAUUCAAACUGUUAUGUGUUGGUUGAGUACCUGCUUAUCAGCCUACCUCUUGAUGGGGUUUAGCAUUCUAAAUGCGUAACUGUCUCAUGUCCCCUCCAUUCAGAGACGGCUGUCUGUCCUCUCAGCUUCCAGCCGACACUGAGUUGUGCCUUGGGUUUCUUCCAGUCCAGGGCCUCUCACCACCUUCUUUUUCUUUUUUGUCCUUUUUUCUUCUUCCAAAUAGCUCAUAUUUUGCUUUUUUAAAUUUUCAAAAAAAUAUUAUUUUUAUUUAUUUGAGAGGCUGAGUGAGUGAGUGAGAGAAAGAGAGAGAGAAAAGAAUCUUCCAUUCUCUGGUUUACUCCCUAAAUGGCUACAAGGGCCUGGGGCUGGGCCAAGCCAGAGCCAGGAGCCAGGAGCCAGGAGCUUCUUCCAUUCUCUUCAUGGGCCCUCCUCCACUGUUUUCUCAGGGCAUCAUCAGGGAGAUGGACUGGAAGUGGAGCAGCCAGGACUCAAUCCAGCACCCGUUUGGGGCGCCACUCCCUAAUUAUGCUUUUAAUAGAGAUGCACACAACUGCACAUUCUUACCCAAAUCAGGGUUUUUCUAUUCCAGAUAAAUGAUUUUUUUACUCUUGCCAGAUUUUUAUAUCUUGGUCAGAUUCUUUCUUCUGUGACCAUUUUAAAAUCGUCAGCUGAAAUAGAACAGGUAAGAAAUGAGGUUGACUGCCUUGAGGGUAGGACGUGAAUUAGUCUCCAGUAGUCCCUGAAGCACUGUUUGGAAGAACGGCUGGAACGCGGUCUCUCCGUGGGACUGGGUGCUGCUUGCUCUCCGAGGUCUAGGCCCUGCACAGGCCAGUGCGGGUGAGCAGGAGUCAGGCUCCCAUGGCAGUGCCCUCCCUCCCGGGACUGGCCAGUUCACAGUAGUCUAAGGAACACACACCUGUUCCCUCACUCUGAAACAGAGCUGGCUGAAACCUGGGCGGAUUGUUUGAAGCCGUGAAUGCCCCAUUUCUCCCCCUCAGGGAGGAUGGUAACGUUUGCCUCCCGCUCUUGCUGCUCGGAACAUCGGGAGAGAACUUGUAGAGAAUUUUGUGUGAUGUGAAGGAAUGCUAACGUAGAAAAACAUGACAGUAAACAUUGUAGAUGAAAAAUCACUAAGAAAGUGCGCAUAAGAGUUACUGGUAAUUUAGUUAAAUCCGUAUCACGGGUGGGAUUACCCACAGCAGUCAGGGCAUGGAUGCUUACGCUCCUGAAGGGUAGCCCCCGAACACCAUUGAAAACAAGAUGACAUGGAAUGAGCUGUAAAAACUUGAAAUAUUGCAAGAUCCCCACUGUGGCUGACUAAAUGAGACACGCUUCAGUACAGGGGAAGAAAGCAACUUAGAGGUGUCUCAAGAAUUACGUGCAGGUAAUGGAGACUUUAGAUGCUUUUUUCCUUAUUGAUCAUUCACAGAACUUGGGGCAUCCUAGCUAGAUUGACAGCUGAGUUAUUUGCCCAUCACUAGUGACUGACAGCAGGUAAUGGGAAGGCUUUUACCACGACAUAACACACACACGGUUUCCUAAUUUACUACGCUAGUUCUCAUCAAAAGUAACCUGGUAAAAAAACACUAGAUUUAUCACUUCAGUUCCUGGAGUUUCACUUGUCCUUUAAGGAGACAUGUUUCUGCAAUGCGACAGGCUUUGCAGAUUUUGAACUUCUUCACACAUCACAGCCAUCGGGUAAUUGGAGAGAGAGAUAAAUGAAAACAAUUGCCACAGUUUUAUAACAAUGGCAUCUACUAGCAAGAAAUAAAAUGGACAAUAAUAUGAUCAUCUGGCUAGAUAUGUUUUAAAGAGCCUUUUUUGUCAAGUUAUAAAAAUAGUUUUAACAAUCUGAAAAUGGACAAGAACUGUAUUUAAGUCUUCACAGUGUAAUAUGAAUAAAUUUUUGGUGUUAGUGCUCGUGUAUUAAGUGGAUGUAAUUUCACAUCUACCACAUUUUCUAUAUGUGGUAGAAGGAUACUUUGUAGCCUUGCAGGUAGUUCACUCACUUUUUAAGGGCUCACUUUUUAUGUGCUGUGAGUCACAUUAAGGGAAAUGCGAAAGUUCUUUUCCAUGUACCCUUGUAAGAGGACUAGAAAACCACUAAUUUUUUUUCAAUGUAUUUAUUUAUUUGAAAGGCAGAAUUACAGACAGGCAGAGUCAGAGCGUGAGAGAGCAAGCGAGAGCGAGAGCGAGAGCUUCCAUCCGCUGGUUCACUCCCCCAAAUGGCUGCAGUGGCUGGAGCUGUGCCAAUCUGAAGCCAGGAGUCAGGAGCUUCUUCCGAGUCUCCCAUGCAGGUGAAGGGGCCCAAGGACUUGGGCCAUCUUCUAUUGCUUUCCCAGGCAUUGGCAGAGAGCUGGAUGGGAAGUAGAGCAGCCAGGCCUUGAACCAGCACCCAUAUUGGAUGCUGGCACUGCAGGCGACAGCUCUACCCAUUAUGCCACAGUGCUUGACCCAAGAACUGCUAAUUUUAGAGGGGGAAAUUGACAGAACUAAAGUUUUCUGCAUUUUGUAUGGAGUAGCCUAGAAAUAGUACGGGUUGGACAUCCCUUUUCCAAAAUGCUUGGGACCAGAAGUGUUUUGGAUUUUUCCAGGCUUUGGAAUAUUUUAUAUAAGGAGAUAGAUUGACGAUAGAACCCAAGUCUAAACGCAAAAUCCAUGUUUCAUGUAUACCCUACACAUGCAGCCUGAAGAUAGUUUUAUACAAUAGUUUUAGCCCACCUGUGUUUUGACUGCAACUGUAAAAUGAGAUCAGAUGUGCUAUUUUCCCCUUACGGAAUCAUGUUGGUGCUCAAAAAGUGUCAUGUUUUGGAACACUUGAGAUUUAGGGUUUUAGAAGUAGGGAUGGUCAUCUUGUAUCCAGCAACCACCCAGUCACAUGGUGAUUGAUGAAGUCAGGCUGGUACAAAACUCGUCAUUUUGAAGAACUGGUAAGCCUCUUAUCUGGGCUUCCACAAAUGCACAUGACCAAUCUUUAGCUCAUGCGCCAAUCGGCGCCCUCUCCACCUUCCACAAGGCCCAGCGGUGCAGGCCGCCAGCGCCUCUCGGCCGCAGCACCGGCCUCGCUCUGCUCUUGCUGGUUUGCAGCAGCCAGAGUGACCGGGCCCCUGGAACAGCCGCUCCUGUCUGCCCCGUCUAGCAGUGGUCACUGGCAAAGUGUGGCUAGGAUGACUGGGGACUUGAGCUCUUUAGUUUAAUUAAUUAAAGCAAAACUUGGCUAUGUGGAGGGCUUAGUUCUGAAGCACAGCACGGCCGUUCCUUCUUUCCUGCUCAGGACACCCGCAGUAAACGCUCGCACAGCCCGGGUGUGGCUGCCAGCGCUCCUCUCCUCCUUUCUGUCUCUGCCCGUUCUCUCCAGCCAUGCAGACUCCUUGCAGGUGCUGUGCAUACCGUCAGCUCCCACCCCAGUGCCUUUGCUGGCCCUUCCUGCUCGGGGGCCCCGGCGUCCGCUCCCUCGUCCAUGUCCAGUCGUGGCUGUCAGCUUUCUCCCAAACCUUCUCUGCCAGCCUGUGCGAAGUGGCAGCGUCCCCUCCACGCCCCGGAUGGGGCUGCCGCUCAGCGGAGUAAACAGGAUCGAUGAAAUCUGAUGAGGGAGUGACAUUUCACCAGAACUGGAGCCAGGCUGUGGGCAGAGUUCUUGGCUAAUCCUCAAAACGUAUCUGAAAUCAGGUGAAACACUUUUUUAUCUUGGUUACGCAAUUUGUGCUCCUCUGCUCCUGGGAUAGAAGCUCCGUCAGGUCAGAGGUUGUUCACUGCUCGGCCUGUCCUCAGAUCAGAAAGGUGUCUGGCACAUCCCCCGUGUCUAAGGAAGCUCCAGCAACUACUGAAUAUAUGGAGACACAGCAUUAUGACUGCCCUAGCGAAAGGGCCACUAGGCAAACUGUAAUUGAAUUUUGAAAAAAAUGCUGUAAAAGCUAUGGGUUGGUAGUUUAAUCCGUAUCAGACUAUGAUAAAUCAGAAAGAAGAAAACUCCUUUUCAGUGUAAUUGAUAAUGAGAUAAUAUAAUUAUUUGAACAACAUAAUUAAUAUGAUGGAACUUUAGGUAGGUAACUUGGAAUUAUUUAAACACAGCAUUAACAUUAUCAAGUUUCUGUGAAAAAUGUACUCUUGGAAAAGAAACUGGAAAUUACUAAGUCAUGCUCUCUGAUUGUAAUAUGAUAAACAACAGAAAUGUAAAGAAGAGCCCAGCACCUGUAAAUAUUAAAAUAGUUUCCCACAUCAUGGAAGGAAAACGGGUAGCUCACGAAUACAGAUGCAGACUGUUUCAAAAGUAUUGAGAAAAAUGUCGUAUUAGACCCUCUAGGACUUGUCCAACAUUGAACUCGACAGUCUAAAUUCAGUCUAAAGUUCUCUUAUAAAUGAAAAAGGAUGAAAGUGUGCAGAAUUAUUUAGAUUAGCAAUCUAAAAAUACUGUAACAAAGAUGUAAUAAAUUAGUAAAAUAACAACUGAAACAAAUGAUCUAGAAAACU
Molecule: non-coding RNA, 8289 nt
Organism: Oryctolagus cuniculus (rabbit)
Lineage: Eukaryota; Metazoa; Chordata; Mammalia; Lagomorpha; Leporidae
Source: RefSeq, a predicted model, not a curated record